Molecule: long non-coding RNA, 927 nt
Organism: Ictalurus punctatus (channel catfish)
Lineage: Eukaryota; Metazoa; Chordata; Actinopteri; Siluriformes; Ictaluridae
Source: Ensembl
GUUCUUCUCUAUAAUGAAGGAGGUGUGGCUUGUGUUCUUCUCUAUAAUGAAGGAGGUGUGGCUUGUGUUCUUCUCCAUAUUUAAGAAGGUGUGGCUUGUGGUGUUCUCCAUAUUUAAGGAGGUGUGGCUUGUGUUCUUCUCCAUAUUUAAGGAGGUGUGGCCUGUUCUUCUCCAUAUUUAAGGAGGUGUGGCUUGUGUUCUUCUCCAUAGUGAAGGAGGUGUGGCUUGUGUUCUUCUCCAUUGUGAAAGAGGUGUGGCUUGUGGUGUUCUCCAUAUUUAAUGAGGUGUGGCCUGUGUUCUUCUCCAUGGCGAAGGACGUGUGGCCUCUGUUCUUCUCUAUAGUAAAGGAGGUGUGGCCUCUGUUCUUCUCUAUAGUAAAGGAGGUGUGGCCUCUGUUCUUCUCUAUAGUAAAGGAGGUGUGGCCUCUGUUCUUCUCUAUAGUAAAGGCGGUGUGGCAUCUGUUCUCCUCUAUAGUAAAGGAGGUGUGGCCUCUGUUCUUCUCUAUAGUAAAGGAGGUGUGGCCUCUGUUCUUCUCUAUAGUAAAGGAGGUGUGGCCUCUGUUUCCCAAUGAAGGAGGUGUUUGUCUCUGUAUCUAUCAGUCCCAGUGAAGAAGGUGUGGCCGCUGUAUUUCUCCAUCAUAAUGAAAGAGGUGCAGCUUGUGUGCCUCUCCAUCCCAGUAAAGGACUGUGUCCUUUGUGCCUCUUAUUCCCAGUGAAAAAGACGUGGCUUCUUUAUCUGUUCGUCACAGUGAAGGAGGUGUAAUUGUGAAUUUGUGCUGUUCUGAAAAGGGUGAUAUUGGGCUGUACCGUUAUUAACCCUGAAUUUUUCACACCUCUCCUCUGGUCCAAAGAGUUAGGUAGUAAAGCGUUUGAUUAUUUCCUGUACGCAGGAUAAACACAAGUUUUCAUUCCAUUGCAUCAUUUUCUU